GUAGUAUAGUUGACUACCUUGCCGCUGACGGGUAACGGAGAAUUGGGGUUCGAUUCCGGAGAGGGUGCCUGAAAAACGGCAACCAUGACUACGGUCAGCAGCAGGCGCGCAAAUUGCCCAAUGCCAAUACUGGCGAGGCAGCACGAAAAAUAAUAACUUUGUUGUACUUCCGUACACCAGAGAUUGCAAUGAGCUGUAUCCACAAACACUGACGAGGAUCCAUUGUAGGGCAAGUCUGGUGCCAGCAGCCGCGGUAAUUCCAGCUCCGAGAGCGUAUAUAAAUGUUGUUGCGGUUAAAAAGCCCGUAGUUGGAUUUGAGGCCAUCCCUUGUGGGAGCUAACCUCGGCACUCCCGGGGUCAUGCAACCACGCUAUAGGGGUGUCCUGUCGGAUGCGGGAACGGAAGCCGGUCGCCUGCCUCCUCGGAGGUCUGGUGGCAAAACGGAGUCGUCACGCUCCAAUGGCUCGCCCGCAGUCGUCACUGUGAGUAAAACAGAGUGUUCAAGGCAACUCUUUGUCGAGUUGAAUGUCAAAGCAUGGAAUGACAAGGGAUCGACCACUAAGGGCCUUCUUUGUUGGUUUUUAACCUUCUGUGAGGUAAAUCUGUGGAUGCGGUGUCCCCCGAGGCCUUCGUGCAUCGGGGGCACUCUUCCGCAACCGGGAUCAAGAGGAGCACAGGGGGCCGUGAGUACUGGAGGGUGAGGGGUGAAAUCCUAAGACCCCUCCAAGACUGACAUCAGCGAAAGCACUCGGCUAUUGUGCUUUCAUUAAUCAAGGACGAGAGAUAGGGGAUCGAAGAGGAUUAGACACCCUCGUAGUCCUUUCCUUAAAUUCUGCAGACUUGGGAUCGGUCAGUGCUCUUUCUUUUUGACCUGAUCGGCACCUUCCCUCCCUCACCGAGAAAUCAAAGUCUUUGUGUUCCGGGGGGAGUACAUUCGCAAGGCUGAAACUUAAAGGAAUUGACGGAGAACCACCACCAGUCGUGGAUUGUGUGGCUUAAUUCGACCCAACACGGGGAAUUUUACCAGCACAGGACACGGUCAGGAUUGCCAAGUUAAAGCCUUUGCUUGAUUCCGUGAAGGGUGGUGCAUGGCCGCUUCUGGUUGGUGAAUGUGAUUUGUCUGCUUAAUUGCGAUAACGAACGAGAUCUCUGCCAAUUACUAGAGACCGCUUUCGCUCGCGGUUGGUGGCUGACGGGGAGUCUUCGGACUUUCUGUCAGUUGCCACCGAGAAGGCGGACCUUUACUUAUUGGGAUUAUGCUGUUUUCAAACGCAUUGAAACGAGAGCCCAAAGCAGGUCUGUGAUGCUCCUAAAUGCGCUGGGCUGCACGCGCAAUACACUGACUCCGACAGCGAGCUUCUUGUCCGCAACCUGGUCCGAAGGUACCGGGGAAACUUUGAGCCGGAGUCGUGCUGGGGAUUGAUGCUUGAAAUUAUUCUCCAUGAACGAGGAAUGUCUUGUAGGCGCGUUUCAUCAGAACGCACCGAAUACGUCCCUGGUUCUUGUACACACCGCCCGUCGUUGCCUGUAAUGGGUUGUGAGUAGAGCCAUUUGGAGAUUGUCGUGCCCACAUCGUGGGUGCGCGAUCGAAAUUGGGCAAUACUCGCAACCUAGAAGAGGCAAAAGUCGUAACAAGGUU
This 1639-nucleotide ribosomal RNA is filed under the name metagenome. RNAcentral describes it as "SSU rRNA". It matches the Rfam family "Eukaryotic small subunit ribosomal RNA", at positions 328 to 1801 of the family's 1831-position model. The record is from RNAcentral.